AGGGGAGUGGCUCAAUUGGUAGAGCGUCGGUCUCCAAAACCGGUGGUUGCGGGUUCGAGUCCUGCCUCCCCUGCCA
Molecule: transfer RNA, 76 nt
Filed under: Bacillota bacterium
Lineage: Bacteria; Bacillati; Bacillota
Also listed under: 1 other name
Description: Firmicutes bacterium (anaerobic digester metagenome) tRNA-Trp
Rfam family: tRNA
About the family: Transfer RNA (tRNA) molecules are approximately 80 nucleotides in length. Their secondary structure includes four short double-helical elements and three loops (D, anti-codon, and T loops). Further hydrogen bonds mediate the characteristic L-shaped molecular structure. tRNAs have two regions of fundamental functional importance: the anti-codon, which is responsible for specific mRNA codon recognition, and the 3' end, to which the tRNAs corresponding amino acid is attached (by aminoacyl-tRNA synthetases). tRNAs cope with the degeneracy of the genetic code in two manners: having more than one tRNA (with a specific anti-codon) for a particular amino acid; and 'wobble' base-pairing, i.e. permitting non-standard base-pairing at the 3rd anti-codon position.
Source: RNAcentral